Molecule: long non-coding RNA, 75 nt
Organism: Maniola jurtina (meadow brown)
Lineage: Eukaryota; Metazoa; Arthropoda; Insecta; Lepidoptera; Nymphalidae
Exons: 3
Source: RefSeq, a predicted model, not a curated record
AACGGACAAAGUUUUAAUAAUUUUAUUCUAAUCCCGCUGGCCCCAUUAAUGGGGACACGGCUAAUGGGGCCAACA